GAGGUCUUGGGAACUUGAAGGCAGACUUGGACUACAUAACCCAUUGGAAAUAUGGGAGCUUAAAGGCAACACGUCAGUUUGUCAAAGUACAAAGGUUUUGGAGCCUCAACUUUGGUGUUGACUAGUACUGAUGGCAUUAUGUUUGGAUGAUUUUCAUGUUCCACCACCCAACUGGCUGUAGCCUCCAAGCUAGCAUAGUGAAGUGUACGAGUUGGAUUUCAUAGAGAGGAGAAUUUUCAAGGACAUAUGGCCUCAAAGUGGUGCAGUGUAUUCAGACGAGCCUUUACAUGGCUCCUUUGCUUAUUUUUUAUUAUUCGUCUUGACAGAGCAACAGAGCCUUUCUUGUUGGCUAUGACCUCCAUCCUUUCCUUUUUGUUUGCUGAUGCUUUGGUGCGUUCUUUUCUUCAUUUGAUUGCAGACUGAGAUCUUUUGGGAAGGGCUAUCAUAGUGCCAGUGACAGAGUGAGAACCCUUUGUGGUUUCUGCAAAUUGUUGCAGAGGAAUGCUGCUUUGGUGACCUUCGUGGGUGUGAAUCAUCAGUCUCUCAAGUUUUGGCCCCUGUUCUUUCUCCAAUUUGCAGAAUUUUUGCUCUGCUGAAGGUGGGUUGGGCAAGUAACAAAGCAUCUGGUCUGUUGAUGUUUUCUAUUUUUUUGGUACUCAAGAACACUCGCAAGGUCUUCUCUGAGUACCACAAUGUGCCUAUGGACACUCACAAGGUGUUCACAGCACUUGUACAGUGGGGUUCUUGCAGAAGCCCAUCUGUAAUUCACAACAGAGAGGUCCUUGUGAGAGCUCUCUUUGUGUGAGUAGCACAGCUAUUGCCAAUUUGGGAGGAUUUGUUUGCAUUUUUCCACUGCUGAAGUCUCUGUUGAUAUGAUACAUUUCUUGAUAUCAAACAUAGAGGAAGUUCAAACUUCUGUACGGUGGCCUCACAUACAUGUUUUUUUGCCUGCAAGUCAGUUGUACAUAAAAGGAUACUCAAAUGAAUUUGUUUAUACCUUCUGAAUGGUAUUAUG
Prunus persica (peach) is the source of this 1015-nucleotide long non-coding RNA. RefSeq lists it as uncharacterized. The record is from RefSeq and is a predicted model, not a curated record. The transcript has 3 exons. Lineage: Eukaryota; Viridiplantae; Streptophyta; Magnoliopsida; Rosales; Rosaceae.